UAGCAAUAUAUCGUACUGUAUCAAAUCAUCAAGUGCACACAAAGAAGAAAACCAUGUUCAAGAGAAAAUGAGAAGUAUAUGGCUAAUAGUUUAAUCGUUACAGGAACAAAGAACACUGACCUCCUUUCUCCAUAGUCCAUAGAAGUUCGGGAAAAGGUUGCAUCAUAUAGCUUGUCAGCUUAUAGUGAUGACCUGCUGAGAAAUCACAGUCAAAAAAGAACUACAGAUCAACAGCUCGAUGGAUCAGAAACAAAUUGCAUGACAAAACAAGAUAACAUCGAUCAGCAACCUACCUUAAGACAAUUACGAACCUGUGAUCGAAGACUGGAGCCCCGAUGAGAUGGUUUUGCUGGUAGUGAGAGAGUGAAGCUGCAACAUGAUCUGAUCGAUGAAAUUAAAGACAUGGAUGCCUUCAAACCGAUCAAAUCCAUACAUAGCUCAGAACAACGAAUGCAGAUCGAGAUCAGAACUGCAGUAGCAGCUCCUGGCUGAAUUCAAUAUAUUCAGCAGUGCAACUCAUGGACCAGAUCAUGCUGGCAGCUUCAGCCUCUCACACCAGCAAGAACUAAUAUCUUCUGACCAAAGAAAAAUGCGUGCUCAAACGAUACUUCUGGCAUUGUGUCAAUCCAUCCAUCUAUAUGUAUAUCAUCAGUGGCAAUUUCGGUAGGGCAGUGAGACAAAAUCUUGCGAGCGCCAUGCAUGGGAUGGAGGUCGACUCAUCAAGACU
This 727-nucleotide precursor RNA is filed under the name Oryza sativa Indica Group (long-grained rice). RNAcentral's name for it is "putative precursor microRNA R167i". The stretch from base 352 to 557 matches the Rfam family "MIR167 microRNA precursor family". Lineage: Eukaryota; Viridiplantae; Streptophyta; Magnoliopsida; Poales; Poaceae. The record is from RNAcentral.